Non-coding RNA from Chrysemys picta bellii (western painted turtle), 1729 nucleotides. The record is from RefSeq and is a predicted model, not a curated record. Lineage: Eukaryota; Metazoa; Chordata; Testudines; Emydidae.
UGUCCUUUGAAAGCUGGCACAGAGCCAAAAUGUACCCGUUUGCUCCUGGAUCCAAGUAUAUCAGCAUUCUUGCAAUUCAAGCACGAUAGCACUCCAGAAGCCCCACACAAAGCCUCAUGCAGCUGCCUGGAGCCAUGCUGAGAGCCUGGAUCUCAUUGCCAUCUGGGGAGAAGAUUUAGUGCAGGAAGCUCUUUUGGCCAGCCACCAGAAUAAAGACCUUUUUGUGAACAUUUCAAAGCAGAUGUCCAUUGGGAUGUCAGCCAGUGCUGUAACAAGCAAAUCUAGGGGAAAAAUAUUGAAUUGAGGGGCAAAAGGAGGCAAUCCAGCAAGGGAUAUGUGACCUGUCCAUUUUUAUCAUGACCCGAACAAGCUCCUAGACAAUUAUAGAGCAACUGUUUCCAGACAUGGGGUGCACCCUGCUGGCCGCACUCUCCCUCCCAUCCCCACUGAGGAUGAUUGGCAACACCCAUCAGAGGAUAAGCAGGCAGAUGCUGGUGAGGAGCUUUUCUAUGAGAGCCAGGAUCUUUGUAGGAUUCAAGUCCCUGAUGCUGGCCAGCUGCAAAGCCAGCCACAGUCCUGCCCUACUUACACAGAUCACAAUUCCUGCCCUAGAUUGGCCAAGCCCAAGUCCCAGCCAAGAACUCAGCAUGGGAUCAAAGAAGCAGAUCCCUCAGAAGGAACUUCAGCAUACUGAUUUUUGCUGCUGGUGGCAAAAUAAUGGAAGAAAUGGGACUUGCUGUUAGACUGAGCGAACAAAUGGGUGUGUGAAUGCGCUGGAGAUAGAAGGUGACACCCCCGGACAGACUGACAUCAGCAUAGCCUAGCCUGUUUGAUCAUUCAUCAAGGGUCAUCAGCUAUUCAAUGAACCCAUUGAAAAAGCCAGGAACUACACCUUCUGAGUCAGCAAGCCAUGUAGAGGCAUGCCUGUGGACAGAGAACUCUAAGGCUUUUCUGUGCCAUGUGCCGUGAAGCUUGUGUUUGGGACAAGCCACAUGACAGAAGACUAUACAAGGCAGCUGCAUCAUCUCCAUUUUGUCUUCAUUCCUGCUUCUUACCUCUGGAGUAACUUUUCCACAAAUGAAGUUCUGAACAAAGGACUAAAUGACCAAUCCAAGCUGUGGAUUGUUCCAGAGGGACUUUCUAGCCAGCAAACUCACCAAUACUGCUAAGAACCUGAUAUAUAGACUUUGAAGUCUCUGUAUGUAUCUGAGUGCUUUAUCAUUUAACAACUCUCUUCUUGUUCUUUUUUUUCCUUUAUAAUAAACCUUUAGUUUUAGACACUAAAGGAUUGGCUGGUAGCAUCGUAUUUUGGGUAAGAUGCAAAUCUACACUGCUCUGGUAACGUGGCUGGCCCUUUGGGGUCAGAAGAACAUUUUACAUAGUGAGCAGAGUUUUUAAAAUAACUUCUCACUGUACUGGACCUAGGUGCUGAUUGGGAGCCAGAGAAAGGAAUGCAAUAAAGGGGGCUGAGUGAUUUAUUUUUUAGCUUCUUGAUAACCAGUGUGGGGGAUCAGGAGCACAGUUUGUGAUCGGUUGGUGAGUCUAACUUCAGGUCAAUCGCCAGUUUAGGAAGAAUCUGCUCUCCUUUUGCAGCCUACCAUGACCUUGGCAUUUUCAGUAAGGGCUACCCCAGGCACACCGGGUCACAACCCCUUUUGGGUUUAGCGAGCAUGACUCCUUUAAAACCUUGGCCUGAGGGAGAGAAAGUGCUGAUUGUUCCAGGAAGAGG